Molecule: ribosomal RNA, 393 nt
Filed under: Bacillus sp. EGU2
Lineage: Bacteria; Bacillati; Bacillota; Bacilli; Caryophanales; Bacillaceae
Description: bacterial SSU rRNA
Rfam family: Bacterial small subunit ribosomal RNA
Source: RNAcentral
GCUAUACAUGCAGUCGAGCGAGUGAAUUAACUGAUCCCUUCGGGGUGACGUUAAUGGAUCUAGCGGCGGACGGGUGAGUAACACGUGGGCAACCUGCCUGUAAGACUGGGAUAACUCGCGGAAACGUGAGCUAAUACCGGAUAACACUUCGAACCACAUGGUUUGAAGAUGAAAGGCGGCGCAAGCUGUCACUUACAGAUGGGCCCGCGGCGCAUUAGCUAGUUGGUGAGGUAACGGCUCACCAAGGCGACGAUGCGUAGCCGACCUGAGAGGGUGAUCGGCCACACUGGGACUGAGACACGGCCCAGACUCCUACGGGAGGCAGCAGUAGGGAAUCUUCCGCAAUGGACGAAAGUCUGACGGAGCAACGCCGCGUGAGUGAUGAAGGUUUUC